Molecule: ribosomal RNA, 253 nt
Filed under: uncultured bacterium
Lineage: Bacteria
Description: partial 16S ribosomal RNA
Rfam family: Bacterial small subunit ribosomal RNA
Source: RNAcentral
UACGUAGGUGGCAAGCGUUGUCCGGAUUUAUUGGGCUUAAAGGGUGCGUAGGCGGUCCUAUAAGUCAGUUGUGAAAUACGGCAGCUUAACUGUCGAGGUGCAAUUGAUACUGCAGGACUUGAGUACAGACGAGGUAGGCGGAAUUGACGGUGUAGCGGUGAAAUGCUUAGAUAUCGGCAAGAACACCGAUAGCGAAGGCAGCUUACUAGACUGUAACUGACGCUGAUGCACGAAAGUGUGGGGAUCAAACAGG